RNAcentral lists this long non-coding RNA (252 nucleotides) under Homo sapiens (human). RNAcentral describes it as "HSALNT0399144". Lineage: Eukaryota; Metazoa; Chordata; Mammalia; Primates; Hominidae. The record is from RNAcentral.
UCCCACCUCAGCCUCCCAAGUAGCUGGGACUGCAGGCUACAGGGCAAGGCUUAACCACUGCUGACCUAAGUCUUGGAGGGAUACCCCAUGGUCACCCAGAUCAUGAGAAGUCAGGCCACCACCACUGAGCCAUGUGGUUAUCCCAUCCAGCCUGCCACCACUGGACUGUAUGUACCGCAGUUCUCCUAUCCAGCCCACCACCACUGGACUCUCUCUCCUGUAUGUAAGCCCCAAAUAAAACCUCAUGUCUCA